Dermacentor albipictus is the source of this 1953-nucleotide non-coding RNA. Lineage: Eukaryota; Metazoa; Arthropoda; Arachnida; Ixodida; Ixodidae. The record is from RefSeq and is a predicted model, not a curated record.
CAAUACCUACACAGAAGCGGGAAAAAAGGCAAGAGAGGAAAUGGGAGUGUUGAAAUUGGACCUUCAAUUAGCAAUAUGUGCGAAGAAGUUUGGCUCACAUUAAAAAUAAAUUUAAGCACUCCUUUCCAUUAAAUUACGGGUAUGUUAAGGUAUACAGGUGAUGAUGUUUCUAAUGGCUAGUAUAGUUUCUGGCAUAUAGAUAUGAAGUUGCAGAGGAGAGUCAAAGUCAGCCUUGAAAUUAAUAUAUGGUAUUUUGUGGCCAAAAAGCCACUUAUCAACUUGUCAAACAAGUCUAAGAAGCUUCCUGCAAAAUAUAAUCAAUUUAAAACAGUAAUCCACUCUGCAGGUAAAUGAUUUACCAACUUAAUUAAAAAGUUAAAUAGCGUUUUAUAUUGUUAAACUAAAAGCAACUUUGGCAUUUUGCACUGCCUAGCUGUUGCCUUUUUUUAAACUUAAACAUGACAUAGAACAGAGUAAGCAGGUAGCAUGCAAAGGACUGGUGAUAAAGUAGUGUUCCAAAGUAACACUCCUAGCUGGAUCAAUCACUUUAGUUCAUAUAUUUUCAUAUGACCCUAAUUGGCUUAGGGCAAUACCUCGCACGAAUGAUGCAUCACCUUGGAUGAUGCGUCAUACAAAAUUGAAAGUAUCUCAUGAUGUGAUCAAACGAUAGCAUUGCCCACUGUAUUGGAAGUGUUAACACGCUGUUUGCGCGGGAAAGUGCAAAGUGAUUCGUAUAGAUAGCAAAUUCAUGAGUGCAUCUAUAGCCUCAAAUAAUCCUGAGCAUCUACGUUGACUCGCAAUUGAGAAGCCACUGCACAUAAAAAGGUGUAUUCAAGUAAUGGUCCAUGCUAAAUAAUUGCCCACCUAGUGAAAAGUCAAAUGUGGCAGGCUAAUGGGCUUGGGCAAAUAAACUGCCAAAUUCUGAUAACACCUCCAAUGAUAUUAUUGAAAUAGGUGAAAAACAUCACUGGUAAAAUUAUAGUUAUGACAAAAUUUGAAGAGCACCUCUGGAAACUGCUGGAACCCUCAGCAUCAUGCCUGUUCUACAUGCACAUAUGUUGCAGCACAAUCUCUAUCUCAGACGCAGGCGCCUCCACACAUCACCACGGUUGUCUGCUUUUCGUUUGUGACGCGUCUUUGCGGGAGACGUGUCUCUUUUGCUGUUCUUGUGGCUUGUUUGAACGGGCGUCCCAACGUGGCCGACACCCGAAGCGCCAGCAGAAAGCGGGCCGCAAGCAAACAACGCAACGAGAGCGCAACGAGGAGUCACGCGCCGAACCAGUCCAAGGCCAACACCGGAUCGCGGGAGCAGCAACCCCCGCCGCUGCUGACGCAGCAACAUGACACGCAGCUGGCGUCGAAGCGGAAGCAAGCCCCCCAGGUGCCGGGAGGCGCCAACCACUCAAUGUCGAGCCACAGGUCGCCGCAGCAGCGGCCACGGCCAAUGGAGCAAGAACAGGACGAACGGGGGGAGCCACCCUGGCAAAAUGGUGCUUUGUGGUGCAAGGGCCCCAGGAUUCGUCACAGUCUGCCGACACACGUGGCGACUACAGGAAAAAGGCAGCUCUGGAAUUUAGCGGCACCGGCUGGGGUCGGGCGUGACCAGCUGACUAUGGGGACGCCAGACAAUGGAUACCACGACGACUGCGCUGCAAAGGUCGUCUGCCCUCGAGAGAGCACUGAAACCUGUGCGGCACGUGUGUGUGAGCCCUCCUCCAAAAAGGCGUGUAGUCUGCGAUGACGUCGAACGAUGACGUCGAACGGAGUGCUUAUAAGCAGCGAUUGUCGGCUGCUAGAGUGUGCUCGUCGUCGUGCUCUGUGCUCGUCAAUGUACCCAUGAGCUGUGUGCUCAUUUGCUGUAUGCUUCGUCUUGCGGGCUCCAUUUGGGUGUCACGCUAGACUGUGUAAAUGUAUCCCACGUUUCAAAUGUAAAUAAAUCCUGCUCGCCUACUG